This 1445-nucleotide ribosomal RNA is filed under the name uncultured marine cyanobacterium. RNAcentral's name for it is "bacterial SSU rRNA". It matches the Rfam family "Bacterial small subunit ribosomal RNA". The record is from RNAcentral. Lineage: Bacteria; Bacillati; Cyanobacteriota.
GAGUUUGAUCCUGGCUCAGGAUGAACGCUGGCGGCGUGCUUAACACAUGCAAGUCGAACGAACCUUCGGGUUAGUGGCGGACGGGUGAGUAACGCGUGGGAAUCUGCCCUCAGGAGGGGGAUAACGGUUGGAAACGACCGCUAAUACCCCAUAUGCCGAGAGGUGAAAUGAAUUUCGCCUGAGGAUGAGCCCGCGUCUGAUUAGCUUGUUGGUGAGGUAAUGGCUCACCAAGGCAUCGAUCAGUAGCUGGUCUGAGAGGAUGAUCAGCCACACUGGGACUGAGACACGGCCCAGACUCCUACGGGAGGCAGCAGUGGGGAAUUUUCCGCAAUGGACGAAAGUCUGACGGAGCAACGCCGCGUGAGGGACGAAGGCCUCUGGGCUGUAAACCUCUUUUCUCAAGGAAGAAGAUAUGACGGUACUUGAGGAAUAAGCCACGGCUAAUUCCGUGCCAGCAGCCGCGGUAAUACGGGAGUGGCAAGCGUUAUCCGGAAUUAUUGGGCGUAAAGCGUCCGCAGGCGGCCUUUCAAGUCUGCUGUUAAAGCGUGGAGCUUAACUCCAUCAUGGCAGUGGAAACUGAUUGGCUUGAGUAUGGUAGGGGUAGAGGGAAUUCCCGGUGUAGCGGUGAAAUGCGUAGAUAUCGGGAAGAACACCAGUGGCGAAGGCGCUCUACUGGGCCAUUACUGACGCUCAUGGACGAAAGCCAGGGGAGCGAAAGGGAUUAGAUACCCCUGUAGUCCUGGCCGUAAACGAUGAACACUAGGUGUCGGGGGAAUCGACCCCUUCGGUGUCGUAGCUAACGCGUUAAGUGUUCCGCCUGGGGAGUACGCACGCAAGUGUGAAACUCAAAGGAAUUGACGGGGGCCCGCACAAGCGGUGGAGUAUGUGGUUUAAUUCGAUGCAACGCGAAGAACCUUACCAGGGCUUGACAUCCUGCGAACCUUUAAGAAAUUAGAGGGUGCCUUCGGGAACGCAGUGACAGGUGGUGCAUGGCUGUCGUCAGCUCGUGUCGUGAAAUGUUGGGUUAAGUCCCGCAACGAGCGCAACCCACGUUUUUAGUUGCCAGCAUUUAGUUGGGCACUCUAGAAAGACCGCCGGUGAUAAACCGGAGGAAGGUGUGGAUGACGUCAAGUCAUCAUGCCCCUUACGUCCUGGGCUACACACGUACUACAAUGCUACGGACAAAGGGCAGCAAACUCGCGAGAGCUAGCAAAUCCCAUAAACCGUGGCUCAGUUCAGAUCGUAGGCUGCAACUCGCCUACGUGAAGUAGGAAUCGCUAGUAAUCGCAGGUCAGCAUACUGCGGUGAAUACGUUCCCGGGCCUUGUAUACACCGCCCGUCACACCAUGGAAGUUGGCCACGCCCGAAGUCGUUACUUUAACCCUUGUGGAGAAGGACGCCGAAGGUGGGGCUGAUGACUGGGGUGAAGUCGUAACAAGGUAACC